Oppia nitens is the source of this 490-nucleotide long non-coding RNA. RefSeq lists it as uncharacterized. The transcript is spliced from 5 exons. The record is from RefSeq and is a predicted model, not a curated record. NCBI's taxonomy places the organism in Eukaryota, Metazoa, Arthropoda, Arachnida, Sarcoptiformes, Oppiidae.
GUUUAAAAAUAUUAAUUAUCUAUAGUUUGAUAUUUAUUGCUAAAAUUACAUCACAAUUACUAUCGGAUGUCAUUAAAUUAACUAAAUCUGUUGAUCCUUUAACUAAAUCUGUUGGAUUAAUACCUGAUUCAAAAUUAUCCCUGCUUAAUUUAUUAACAAAUAAUAUUCUUGAAACACCUGAUGGUGGGACUAUAUCUGAAGGCGAUAUUGUAACUUAUGGUAAAACAAGAGUUGGUCUCAAACAAGACGGAGACUUAUGGCCCGAUGCUAUCAUUCCCUAUGUGUUUCACAAAUCCAUUGAAAGUGAAAAUAAAAAAUUGAUAAUUGAAGCGAUAAAACAUUGGGAAGAAAGUACUUGUAUUCGCUUCAGACAAAAGAAACCAAAAGAUGAAUACUUUGUUCGCUUCAGAGCUGAUACAUCUGGAUGCUGGUCUGCAAUUGGCCGACAAUAUGAUAAAACUGGACCUCAAGACAUCAGUUUAGGCAACGG